This is a non-coding RNA of Biomphalaria pfeifferi, 219 nucleotides long. NCBI's taxonomy places the organism in Eukaryota, Metazoa, Mollusca, Gastropoda, Planorbidae. The record is from the annotation of a GenBank genome assembly.
AGGGUGUUCUAGUUUCAGAGAGGGUUUUCUAGUUUCAGGUUUGUUCCACUAUGCCUGACGUCUCCCAUCACUUCUUUUGAAGUCUUUGAUCAUGUUGUGAACUAAAUCAGCGCCAGUCCAACAGUCAUUGGACCUUCCAUCGGAACGGCUGCCUUACACAGACAGACCACACACUUCUUAGGCUCUUGAAUCUGGAACGGCUGCCUUGCACAGACAAAC